CUUGUUUCUUUGAUGUACCGUUGAUAAUUUAUUAUAUCAUGAAUAUUGUAACUCUUUUAGUUUUUUAAUGUAUCGAGAUAAUUUGUUAAAAGUCUUUUCCAGCCAUACUCGCAAGUUUAUUAGAACCCCUAACGAUUUGUUAGGGUCAAAAUAUGUUAUGAUCAAAAUAAAAUUACAAAAUUUAUAUAAUGUAGGUACAUGAUAUAAAAAAAAAAAAAGGUCAGGGACAAUUUAUUAUUUUACUGAUUAUAAUUAUUGUUAUUUAAUUCUAAUAAUAAUUAUAUAGGCCGACGUCACGGAUUAAGAAUUAAAUCAAUCGAAUUUCGCUCAAACUCAGUUCGUGGAAUUUUGUGAACAUUUGAACGAUUUAAUAUCCAUACGUUUUAAAUUUUUGAAUUUUGAUACAUGUCCAAUGAACCACCAAAUAUUAUCGAUUCGAUCUUUCUACGAUUUUCCCGGUUUUUUCAGGUUUUUUCCCAGUUCUUCCCAUUUAUUGGAAAAAAAUCGUGGAAAAAUCGAAAAAUGACCUUCUUAUAGUACCACCCCAAUACGAUUUGCUUUCAGGAAAAGUGCUACACUUCAAAAUCGGAACAAGAUUUCUGGUAAAAUAGAUGUCCACAGAAAAAAAAAUACAAACAUCUAUGUAAAACCGUAAGCUUUUUCGUUUCACUCAGAAUCUAAAAUAAAAUUGAAAACAAUAAAACCAUUAUUUUUCCGUUCAUUCUACGUUUUUUUUUGAUUUUGCACAAUUAUUAAAUUGGUCUGUUGACGCGUUGGUCUGUCAAAUGGAGUUUUCUGUGAAAAGCUAUAGUAUAUUUUUUCACGCGUGAUAAUAACAAUAACAACUUCUAGAUAUUGUAAUUUACCCUGUUUUUCCCCCUUUAUUUUGUUUUCAAAAAACGUUAGAAAAACAAAACGUUUUUCAUAUGAAUAAGGAAAAAAUAAAUCAUGCAGGCCGCCAUCUGCCCGAGAGUUAUAAUUUUUAGAAUAUACACAUUACACAUAGUAAACAGCGGUAUAAUAACGCUAUAAAAUUGGUAUACGGAUUUCAACUCAAAGUUGUAUAUGUCCGUUUAACUGCUCUAGGAAAAUGUUAUUCUUCCAAGUAGGUAGAUACAUAACAGUACGAUUUACGAAUAAGUGAAAUAGUUCAAGAGUGAAACUUUUAAAUCGCGUUUUUCGCAAAGACUCGCAAAAUCCGAACCCAACAGUAUUGAUUAUAAAGAGCUAGCCGCCUUAAUCCUUUGACACACCAUUAGAAGGCGUGUUGAAUUGUAUAAUAACCUUUGCCUUAUCUGGCCAAUCAGAGAACUCCAUUUUCGCCAGUGACUCGUUUCACGUAUGGGAAACGUUUAUACGCAUUCGUGAAACGGUUUCCGGAAUGUCAUUAUUGCCCGCGGUCGAAUUAUAUUACAAUGUGCAGUGACGCGGAAAAGAAUGCACGUCAAGUCAGCGUGUUGUAAAACUACAAUAAUAUAUUAUAGGUACCGUGUGUCCGAAUCAAAAGUGUAAAGGCAUAAAGGCCGUAAAGGAUCUCGAGUACCCUGCAGAGUAGCGUAAAGUCUUAUAGUGCCUUUGUGUUAUCGCGAGUCCGCAAAGUCGUCGUCCGGGGAUCGUCUUUUGGGAUUUUGUCGUUUAAACGGACGACGACGGUGGUCCGACAGAUAACAUAUUUCGCAAAUGUUUGGUACCUUAUCAUACAGAUUCACAUGCAUUUUGAUGAUAUGCAAAUGAAUCAUCCCGGGGUUAAUUAUAAUACCGCGUAGUUUUCUUCGAAUACGAUUUAGGUUUACACUAUUAGAAGACCAAGAUACUCGGCACAUUAUUAGUUUUGGACCGACAGGUGGAUUAAGUUUUGUAAUUAUUUCUCAUCUGCUUUAUCUAAACCCGUGGUAGUUUUUCAUGGACUCAUCAAUAGGUCUUAGACAUACACUUAGGGCGCUGAAUUCUUCAGAGCAGUAUCGGAUUUAGACGAACAG
This 1979-nucleotide long non-coding RNA is filed under the name Cinara cedri. Lineage: Eukaryota; Metazoa; Arthropoda; Insecta; Hemiptera; Aphididae. The record is from RNAcentral.